GCGCGAUAGCUCAGUUGGUAGAGCAGUGGCCUCGUAAUCCAGUAACCCGGGUUCGAAACCAAGUCGAUGCG
Molecule: transfer RNA, 71 nt
Filed under: Strongylocentrotus purpuratus (purple sea urchin)
Lineage: Eukaryota; Metazoa; Echinodermata; Echinoidea; Camarodonta; Strongylocentrotidae
Rfam family: tRNA
About the family: Transfer RNA (tRNA) molecules are approximately 80 nucleotides in length. Their secondary structure includes four short double-helical elements and three loops (D, anti-codon, and T loops).
Source: Rfam by way of RNAcentral